Molecule: ribosomal RNA, 396 nt
Filed under: Chanea suukyii
Lineage: Eukaryota; Metazoa; Arthropoda; Arachnida; Araneae; Mysmenidae
Description: partial large subunit ribosomal RNA
Source: RNAcentral
UUGUAAGGCCUGCUCAAUGAAAAUUAAAUAGCCGCAGAAAUUUAACUGUGCUAAGGUAGCAUAAUCAUUAGAUUUUUAAUUAAAAUCUGGAAUGAAAGGAUCAACCUUUAAUAACUUUUCUAAAAUAUAAAACUUCAAAUUAUAAUAAAGAUAAAAAUAUUUUUAUUUCAUAAAAAGACGACAAGACCCUAUUGAACUUAACUUAAGUUAAGCUGGGGCAGCUUAUUAAAAACAAUUUUAAUUUGAUUAAUUAAAUAAAAACCUAAUAUUAUUAAAUCAAACAAGUUACCAUAGGGAUAACAGCGUAAUUUUUUAAAAAAGUUCUUAUCCAAUAAAAAGAUUGCGACCUCGAUGUUGAAUUAUAUUCCUUUUUAAAGCAAAAUUAAAUAUAGGGGG